GAUGUCUUCUUUGCAGAAAUGUCUGUUCAUGUCUUCUGCCCAUUUCUUGAUUGGAUUAUUCUUUGGGUGUUGAGUUUGGAUCGCAAGAUGGACACCUGAGGCCCACAGCAAGUGGCUUGCCCAUGGUCACAAGGAAAGUGAAUGAAAAGAGGAACUUUAGGAAGAGAUGGGAAGAGAGGAACUACUGAAGGAGACUACUGAGAAGGAAC
RNAcentral lists this long non-coding RNA (209 nucleotides) under Mustela putorius furo (domestic ferret). RNAcentral's name for it is "lncRNA (ENSMPUG00000025149.1)". Lineage: Eukaryota; Metazoa; Chordata; Mammalia; Carnivora; Mustelidae. The record is from RNAcentral.